AUGGAUGCCCUCAAUGGGAUUGGCACAUUCUCCAUUGCUCCUGUGCUGUUAUCAGCACUUCGGGUUCAUAAUGUACACACAGCAAUGGAUUUUCUGCAGCUGAUUUUCCAUAUUCUGUUUUCUUCGGGUAAGCAGAAACAGAUGCCUUCCUCACUGGUCACCAGGUUCAAGGUCCCUCAUAUGUGUCAGGUGCAUAGUCACCAACAAAGGCCAACUUCACAUCAAUGGGUGGAUCGUACCUCGGCCUAAGCUCCCGGAUUGAUUGUGCUGUUAGAGUCACAGCUACAACCGUGAGUAAUAAUUACAGUCCCACUUUCUGAAUGUCAUUUAAAAAGGAUAUUCCAUGCAGAUAUUUGAUCUGCUUAUAGUGUCCAGAAAAAGGCUUGUUAUCACCAACCUAGCUAGCACUACCUAUAAUUUGUACACACACACACACACACACACACACACACACACACACACACACACACANNNNNNNNNNAAUGCCAGAUGUCUUGGACUCAAAAGUCAAAGUGAACUUGGGUCCCCUUGAUAGUUCUGUGUCGUGUUGGUGACAGGAUACAAGCAUUGUGUUAUUGAUUUUGGUAUUUAUGGGCUUCGCUUUUAUUGUUGCAAUUUCAUAUAUUAAAAUUAGAAAAAGAAUCAAUGAACAAGUAUACAUUUCAACAGUUAAGCAUCAUUCAAUUAUGUAAAUGUCACAAAGGAAAGCAACCUAUCAAGCUAAAUUAAAAAUAUUGAAACCAAUUCAGGGUAACUUGGGGAAAAGGGCCGUUGAUAGUUCAGUGGUAGAGCCCUUGUCUUGGAUCCGUGAAGCACUGGGUUCUAUCCUCAGUAUCACAAAAUCGAAGAAAUAAAAAAGAUAAUAUCUAGGAAUGUUAGUUUUUU
This 885-nucleotide long non-coding RNA is filed under the name Mus spicilegus (steppe mouse). RNAcentral describes it as "lncRNA (ENSMSIG00000007418.1)". Lineage: Eukaryota; Metazoa; Chordata; Mammalia; Rodentia; Muridae. The record is from RNAcentral.